GGCAGGGGCUUGCACUCAGGCUUUCAGUACUUCGGAAGAGCUCCCGGAGUUAGACUCUCCCCGCGGGAGAGGAACUGUUACGGAUCUGCGCAUUGAGCGAUCCACACGGUGUAGGCC
This 117-nucleotide non-coding RNA is filed under the name unclassified sequences. The record is from Rfam.